GUUUAGGUAGUUUAUUUAGAAUAGCAAUUUGUGGAAUUGCAGGUGUUACAUAUAACUUUAGACC
Molecule: transfer RNA, 64 nt
Filed under: Sclomina pallens
Lineage: Eukaryota; Metazoa; Arthropoda; Insecta; Hemiptera; Reduviidae
Description: tRNA-His
Source: RNAcentral